Molecule: ribosomal RNA, 1964 nt
Filed under: human gut metagenome
Description: bacterial LSU rRNA
Rfam family: Bacterial large subunit ribosomal RNA
Source: RNAcentral
UCAAGUUAUUAAGGGUGCAGGGCGAAUGCCUUGGCACUAGGAGCCGAUGAAGGACGUGAUAAGCUGCGAUAAGCUUGGGGGAGUUGCACGUAAACUGUGAUCCCAAGAUUUCCGAAUGAGGAAACUCACUUAGAGUAAUGUCUAAGUAUCGUAUAGUGAAUACAUAGCUAUGCGAGGGGAACCCGGGGAACUGAAACAUCUAAGUACCCGGAGGAAGAGAAAGAAAUUCGAUUCCGUAAGUAGCGGCGAGCGAACGCGGAACAGGCCAAACCAGUAAAGUUUACUUUAUUGGGGUUGCGGACAUAUCAUAACGAAGGAAUAUCGAAGGUGAAGAGAGUUGGAAAGCUCCGCUAUAAAGUGUAAUAGCCACGUAGCCGAAACGAGAAAACUUUAGAUAUGAUCCAGAGUACCACGGGACACGUGAAACCCUGUGGGAAGCAGGAGGGACCAUCCUCCAAGCCUAAAUACUACCUAGUGACCGAUAGCGUAUAGUACCGUGAGGGAAAGGUGAAAAGAACCCCGGGAGGGGAGUGAAAGAGAACCUGAAACCCUGCACUUACAAGCUGUGGGAGCACAUUACUUGUGUGACCGCGUACUUUUUGUAGAACGGGCCAACGAGUUACGUUACGUAGCAAGGUUAAGCACUUAAGGUGUGGAGCCGUAGCGAAAGCGAGUCUUAAAUGGGCGUCUAGUUACCCGACGUAGACCCGAAACCAGGCGACCUAUCCAUGAGCAGGUUGAAGCGAAAGUAAAAUUUCGUGGAGGACCGAACCCACGAGCGUUGAAAAGCUCGGGGAUGACCUGUGGAUAGCGGUGAAAUUCCAAUCGAGCCCGGAGAUAGCUGGUUCUCUCCGAAAUAGCUUUAGGGCUAGCCUCAAGAUUGAGAGUAACGGGGGUAGAGCACUGAAUGUCCUAGGGGGUAUUGCACUUACCGAAGACUAUCAAACUCCGAAUACCGUAUACUUAUGCUUGGGAGUCAGACUAUGGGUGAUAAGAUUCAUAGUCAAAAGGGCAACAGCCCAGAUCGUCAGCUAAGGUCCCUAAAUGUACGUUAAGUGGUAAAGGAUGUGGGAUUGCACAGACAACCAGGAUGUUGGCUUAGAAGCAGCCACUCAUUUAAAGAGUGCGUAAUAGCUCACUGGUCGAGUGAUCCUGCGCCGAAAAUUUCCGGGGCUAAAACGUACUACCGAAGCUACGGCAUCAUUUAUGAUGGGUAGGGGAGCUUCGUAUGCAGGCUGAAGCAUGACCGUAAGGACAUGUGGACAGUAUACGAGUGAGAAUGUUGGCAUGAGUAGCGAGACGUGGGUGAGAAUCCCACGGGCCGUAAACCCAAGGUUUCCAGGGGAAGGUUCGUCCGCCCUGGGUUAGUCGGGACCUAAGCCGAGGCCGAAAGGCGUAGGUGAUGGACAACAGGUUGAUAUUCCUGUACCACCAAUAACCGUUUGAGAAAUGGGAUGACACAGAAGGAUAAGCUAACCGCACUGUUGGUUAUGUGCGGGCAAGUAUUGAGGCAGUUCUGGUAGGCAAAUCCGCCAGAAUAAUGCUAGGGUACGAUGCGGAGCGAAAUUUAGUAGCGAAGUAGCUGAUUUCACACUGUCGAGAAAAGUCUCUAUCGAGGUUAAAGGUGCCUGUACCGCAAACCGACACAGGUGGGUGAGGAGAGUAUCCUAAGGCCAGCCAGAGAACUGUUGUUAAGGAACUCGGCAAAAUGACCCCGUAACUUAGGGAGAAGGGGUGCCUUCGAAAGAAGGCCGCAGAGAAUAGGCCCAAGCGACUGUUUACCAAAAACAUAGGUUUCUGCUAAGUCGCAAGACGAUGUAUAGGAGCUGACGCCUGCCCGGUGCUGGAAGGUUAAGGGGAUCUGUUAGAGCAAUCGAAGCAGUGAACUUAAGCCCCAGUAAACGGCGGCCGUAACUAUAACGGUCCUAAGGUAGCGAAAUUCCUUGUCGGGUAAGUUCCGACCC